RNAcentral lists this unclassified non-coding RNA (574 nucleotides) under Hevea brasiliensis (rubber tree). The record is from RNAcentral. Lineage: Eukaryota; Viridiplantae; Streptophyta; Magnoliopsida; Malpighiales; Euphorbiaceae.
AAAAAAAAAAAAAAAAACUACUUAACAAAAUAGAAGACUCCCUGAGUGCAGCAACAAUAAGUGAAAGGCCUCAGGCAAGCUUCUUCAUUUUACUAAAAGAAGCAAUAACUGUGAUAGGAACUGAAAGAAAAUAUCUAAUAUGAAUUUGUAAACUAAAUAGUGCAAAUUAUAUACAUAAAAAGAAACAGUCAAAAGCCACUUUAAACCAAGAACAUGGGUCAUAAAAAGAUAGGUACAGUUUGUUAUGUUUUAACAAAAAAUAAAUGUUCAGAAACCAUUAAUUUAUAGAGUAAUAAAAAAUAUAUAUUCAAUGUCCUAAUUUGUCCAAAAUGAAAAAUAGCCAAUGACUAUGAUAAACAUAAAGGCUGAACACUACAACCACUGGCAAUACAGUUAUAUCAGCUAGCACUUCAAAAGUUCAUAUCAUGUUGCUUGGAAUGAAGAAGAGGAAUUUUUUGUUGAAUGAGAUAACCAAAAUAUGCUUAUUUCAUAACAUGUAUACCAUAGGAUAGAACCAGAUUGUUUCUUCAGACACCAUAACACACUAACAAAAAUUAAAUUGCAUUUUUCAUUA